CUGGUUGAUCCUGCCAGUAGUCAUAUGCUUGUCUCAAAGAUUAAGCCAUGCAUGUCUAAGUAUAAACUGCUUAUACUGUGAAACUGCGAAUGGCUCAUUAAAUCAGUUAUAGUUUACUUGGUGGUUAAUUUUACUUGGAUAACUGUAGUAAUUCUAGAGCUAAUACAUGCAUAAAGCUCCGACUUCGCGGAAGGAGUGUAAUUAUUAGCUUACAAACCAGUGCGGUAACCCCGCUUCUUGGUGAAUCGAAGUAAUCCAAUUUUUCUUUUCUGAUCGUAUGGUCUCGUACCGACGACGCACCAAUCAAGUUUCUGCCCUAUCAACUUUGGAUGGUAGUGUAGUGGACUACCAUGGUGUUUACGGGUGACGGAGAAUUAGGGUUCGAUUCCGGAGAGGGAGCCUGAGAGAUGGCUACUACUUCCAAGGAAGGCAGCAGGCGCGAAAAUUGCCAAACCAGCUAUGCUGGAGGCAGUGACAAUAAAUAUCUGCGGGUCUUAUAGAUCCGACUGGAAUGAGAUGGAUGUAAACAAUCCUACGAGUAUCAAUUGGAGGGAAAGUCUGGUGCCA
Molecule: ribosomal RNA, 567 nt
Filed under: uncultured eukaryote
Lineage: Eukaryota
Description: bacterial SSU rRNA
Rfam family: Eukaryotic small subunit ribosomal RNA
Source: RNAcentral